RNAcentral lists this ribosomal RNA (469 nucleotides) under uncultured Rhodoferax sp. RNAcentral describes it as "bacterial SSU rRNA". It matches the Rfam family "Bacterial small subunit ribosomal RNA", at positions 912 to 1382 of the family's 1533-position model. The record is from RNAcentral. Lineage: Bacteria; Pseudomonadati; Pseudomonadota; Betaproteobacteria; Burkholderiales; Comamonadaceae.
GACGGGGACCCGCACAAGCGGUGGAUGAUGUGGUUUAAUUCGAUGCAACGCGAAAACCUUACCCACCUUUGACAUGUACGGAAGCCUUUAGAGAUAGAGGCGUGCUCGAAAGAGAGCCGUAACACAGGUGCUGCAUGGCUGUCGUCAGCUCGUGUCGUGAGAUGUUGGGUUAAGUCCCGCAACGAGCGCAACCCUUGUCAUUAGUUGCUACAUUCAGUUGGGCACUCUAAUGAGACUGCCGGUGACAAGCCGGAGGAAGGUGGGGAUGACGUCAAGUCCUCAUGGCCCUUAUAGGUGGGGCUACACACGUCAUACAAUGGCUGGUACAAAGGGUUGCCAACCCGCGAGGGGGAGCUAAUCCCAUAAAGCCAGUCGUAGUCCGGAUCGUAGUCUGCAACUCGACUACGUGAAGUCGGAAUCGCUAGUAAUCGUGGAUCAGAAUGUCACGGUGAAUACGUUCCCGGGUCUU